Molecule: ribosomal RNA, 408 nt
Filed under: uncultured bacterium
Lineage: Bacteria
Description: partial 16S ribosomal RNA
Rfam family: Bacterial small subunit ribosomal RNA
Source: RNAcentral
GACGAACGCUGGCGGCGUGCCUAAUACAUGCAAGUAGAACGCAGUUGCGAAAGGGUGAGUAACGAGUAGGUAACCUGCCUCAUAGCGGGGGAUAACUAUUGGAAACGAUAGCUAAUACCGCCUACUGUGAGAUGGACCUGCGUUGUAUUAGCUAGUUGGUUAGGUAAAGGCUCACCAAGGCGACGAUACAUAGCCGACCUGGGAGGGGGAUCGGCCACACUGGGACGGGGAAAAGGCCCAGACUUCUAAGGGGAGGAGCAGUAGGGAAACUUCGGGCAUUGGAGGAAGGCUGGCCGGGCAACGCCGGGUUGAUGAAGGAGGUUUUCGGAACGGAAAGCUCUGGUGUUAGGGAAGCGGUACCUAACCAGAAAGGGACGGCUAACUACGUGCCAGCAGCCGCGGUAAUUC